Molecule: non-coding RNA, 90 nt
Filed under: marine eukaryotic metagenome
Description: L2-Alphaproteobacteria ribosomal protein leader
Rfam family: L2-Alphaproteobacteria ribosomal protein leader
Source: RNAcentral
GGGCACCUUCGGGGGCCUAUAUCCCGGGCCCAAGGGCCUCAAACAUAGCGGGGCGCCCAACGCCUCGCACUGCUAAACGGAAGACAGAAA